This 253-nucleotide ribosomal RNA is filed under the name uncultured bacterium. RNAcentral describes it as "partial 16S ribosomal RNA". It matches the Rfam family "Bacterial small subunit ribosomal RNA", at positions 524 to 776 of the family's 1533-position model. The record is from RNAcentral.
UACAGAGGGGGCAAGCGUUGUUCGGAAUCACUGGGCUUAAAGGGUGCGUAGGCGGCUCGUUAGGUAGGGUGUGAAAGCCCCCGGCUCAACCGGGGAAUUGCGCCCUAAACCGGCGGGCUGGAGUGAGAUAGGGGUGUGUGGAACUUCCGGUGGAGCGGUGAAAUGUGUUGAUAUCGGAAGGAACGCCGGUGGCGAAAGCGACACACUGGGUCUCAACUGACGCUGAGGCACGAAAGCCAGGGGAGCAAACGGG